This 63-nucleotide transfer RNA is filed under the name Luperomorpha hainana. Its description in RNAcentral is "tRNA-His". The record is from RNAcentral. Lineage: Eukaryota; Metazoa; Arthropoda; Insecta; Coleoptera; Chrysomelidae.
AUCUGAAUAGUUUAUUUAAAAUAUUGAAUUGUGAUUUCAAUGAAAUAGUUAUUAUUUUAGAUU